CCCUUAGAUGUUCUGGGCCGCACGCGCGCUACACUGAUGCAUGCAACGAGUUCUAUCCUUGGUCGGAAGGCCUGGGUAAUCUGUGAACGUGCAUCGUGAUAGGGAUAGAUUAUUGCAAUUAUUAAUCUUGAACGAGGAAUUCCUAGUAAACGCAAGUCAUCAGCUUGCAUUGAUUACGUCCCUGCCCUUUGUACACACCGCCCGUCGCACCUACCGAUCGAAGGUAAUGAUGAGCCCUCAGGAUUGUGGCCUCGUCGCGUCAGCGUCUUGGCUGCGAGAAUCUGUGCAAAUCCCUACCUUUAGAGGAAGGUGAAGUCGUAACA
Molecule: ribosomal RNA, 323 nt
Filed under: uncultured eukaryote
Lineage: Eukaryota
Description: partial 18S ribosomal RNA
Rfam family: Eukaryotic small subunit ribosomal RNA
Source: RNAcentral